CGCCCCCCACCGGUAAAGUUUCCGUACCACCCGAGCGUUCCUCACCCCGAGCCCUCCUCCUGACCCCAUGACACCCAUCGACCAAUCUAUUCUGUGCUACCACCUCUCUUCGACUCCAGUGCUUCCACCUCCCCUCGAUCUCCUUCAAGCCCAGCGCCACCACCUCCCCUCGGCCCUCUCCUCCUGGUCCUGCCGUCGGGACCGAUGACGCCACAUCAGUCGCAAGAAACGACAACGCCAACCGGCACCGACGCGAUGCCACAUCAGUCGCUAGAAACGACCAUACCAACCUCCGCCGAUGAGGCGCCGACGAGGAUGGACAGUUGAAGCUGCCUACGAGGAGCAACAAGGUCCGUCUGUGGAUUUCCAAUCGAUCUAUUCCUCCUCCAUCAACCUCGUCCCGCGGAUCUUGAGUUAUGGCUCGUCUUCCCUUAAGUGCGAGGCGUGGAAGGAGAAACACAACAUUUUUGAAUUUGACUACUUCCAUUAUGUUUGUAUACUAUUAUGUUUGGUUCAUGUUUGCGUUAGCUUAUAGGAGAAAAUGUUGGCAAAUAGAAAGGAGAAUUAUAAUUAGAGAGUUAAGGGGAGAGAACUUGUACCGGCUAAUUGGUGAGAGCGACGAUAUGUGUAUAAGUCAACUUUGUAUGGAUAGGAGAACAUUUCAUAUAUUAUGUGAGAAGGAGAAUUAUAUUAUGUUCUAAAGGGUAAAAGGAACACAUCAUUAGAGAAGAUAGUGGCAUCAUUCUUAUAUAUAUCAUCACACCAUUUUAAAAAUAGGACAGUAGGAAGAUUCUUCUAUCGAAGCCCGGAGUUGGUUAUUAGAAACUCCAAUGCUUGUCUUCUAGCUGUCCUGAAACUGCACCAUCUGCUACUUAAGAAACGGGAACCUAUACCAGAGGAUUGAACCGAUGAUAAAUUGAACUAUUUCAAGAAUUGCCUUGGAGCGUUAGAUGGCACACCCAUAGGCUUAACUGUCCCGGCUAAUCUGAAAGGAAGAUAUAGAUCAAGAUAUGGAUCACUUGGACAGCUCAAGCAUGUCGCGUGGAAGAGGCUGGCACAAAAGGAAUUGGACUUCCGAUGAGGAUGGUGAGCUUAUUAAAGCUUUGUAUGAGUUGUCUUUGGAUCCGAGGUGGAAAGCUGAUGGUGCCUUCAAGGGUGGAUACUUGGCGAUAUUGGAAAAGCAUCUUGCUGAGAAGUGCCCAGGUCGUGGUAUCACUUGAGUUCCACACAUUGAAUCAAGAGUGAGGCACUCUUGGAAGAAAUUUUGUGCUCUUGAAGUAAUGAUACCCAAAAGUGGUUUGACAUGGGAUGGAAAUAGGAAGAUGAUUCAAUGCGAGAAGGCACAAUAUGAAGAACAUUAAUCAGAAGGAGGCUAAGGGAUUGUAUAGUGCAUCAUUUCCAUACUUUGAGCAAUUGGCUGCUCCUAUGGCAAGGACAUCGCAACAGGGGAAAAUGCUGAAGGCUAUUAGGAAACUUGGAGAAGGAAAUUUCUAUGAAGGAAGAAGAAAAUGAGGAAGAGGAUAUGAUCUCAAUAGAGACAGCUAGACAGACCAUUGACACUUGCUCUAUUGAUACAAGUAGUUCCAAGAGGCAAAAGAAGGAGCCAAGGACAAAGAGGGCGGCGGGACCAAGCGAUCCUUUUGUAUCCAUGCUUCAAGAUGUCAACAACCAACUAAACAGCGUGAGACAACAUGUUGGUAUAAUGGCAACACCAGUCUCAGCAGCAAUGGCGCGAGAAACAACCCAAGAGGACCCUCAACAGAAAUUAAGAGAAAAGGCAAUUAGUGAAUUGUCUAGGCUUGCAUUCACUGGGAGCGAGAUUGUUGAAGCUGCAACUAUAUUUGCUAAAGCUCCAGAACACAUGAACAUGAUGCUUGAGUUUCCAGAAAUCCUUAGGAGGGACUUUGUCCUCAAAAUGCUAUCUGGUAUCAUUGUUUCUAAACUCUUUUUAUGUUUAUCUUUGAUAAUAGGUUCCAGCACAUGAAACCUCAACAUGAUUGUUAGCUUUGAUAAUAUGUACUAUCUUGUGAUAUAUUUCUAAAUACAAAUGCUCACAUGUCCUGAUUCUUGAAUCAAAAUUUGAUAUAUACAUGCAUAUUGUUGCUAACAUUUGCCCAUGUUCACCCUCUUUAAUCUAUACUAUCUUGUGAUGAAAAUUUCAUGCUUUUCAUGCAUUUGAUAAAGUAUUUUUCCUUAUAUCUAAUUAUUGCCCGCUCAUUGACAUAUGAAAUAAACAAGCAAGGUUGAAUGGACAGGAAGGCUUUUUUAUAACAGUGGUGCGACAUGAUUGGUGUGUACAAAACUCUCCUCCUUUUCCUCCUGUUGUCUUGUCAAAGUGUUGAAAUGCAUAGAGCAAGAAUGUCUUGUCAAAGUGUUGAAAUGCACAGAGCAAAUUCAUCUUGUUGUUAUUUUCAUUUUGGACUCUGUAUAUAACAUGACAUAAUUUUAAUUCACACAGCAAAUCAUCUUGCUGUUAUGUUCCA
Long non-coding RNA from Hordeum vulgare subsp. vulgare (domesticated barley), 2483 nucleotides. RefSeq lists it as uncharacterized. The transcript is spliced from 5 exons. NCBI's taxonomy places the organism in Eukaryota, Viridiplantae, Streptophyta, Magnoliopsida, Poales, Poaceae. The record is from RefSeq and is a predicted model, not a curated record.